Long non-coding RNA from Ictalurus punctatus (channel catfish), 3903 nucleotides. Lineage: Eukaryota; Metazoa; Chordata; Actinopteri; Siluriformes; Ictaluridae. The record is from Ensembl.
UAGCACGUUAGCAUUUAUUGCAGAUGAAUCAUGAGGCACAAAACAUUUGUACUGUUACAGAACAUGAGCUGGUAAUAAAACUAAAUAAAUUAAUCACUAUGAGGUAAUGCUGCUUUAAAAAUAAACUAUGUAUAAAAUGUCAGGCAGUUAAAAAAAAAGAAAAAAAAGAAAUCAGCAUUUCUGUUGCUUGUUAUUUUUAAAAAAUAUAAAUAUAAAAUCUCUUGUGAAUCUGAGGAGCUGAAAAUGACCUCAGCGCUAAAAUGUUCGCGUUUCAACACCGUUUCUAACGCUCCCUCGUUCACGUCUUUAUUUUUCCUUUCACUUCUUCUCCUCGACUUAGCGUUUGGCAUAAAAUACCGGCUUUACUUGCACAAUACAGUAGUUUAACAACAUCUAAACACAGAACUGCGCUCAUUUUAACCAGCUAGCUCUGUAGCUAAGCUAUCAGUAACUUAGAUAACUCGACGUAAACAUUUGUAUUGUGGAAUUAAAACCCGUAGCCAUGUUCAUAACAUCGAUCAAACGUGAAGCAUUUCAAUAAAUUAUUGCUUUAUUAUACAAGCGAACAUGCUUAUAUGCUAACACAGGGUGCGUUAAAAACAGUUCUGAAACGAUCAGAAACGAGUAUAAAAUGGAUGCUUUGCAAAGCAUCAUGGGAUAUUUAGAUCCUCACUGAAAAACUUCCCUUUUCUCUCAAUCUCAUUAGCGCUAAAGAUAUAAAACUAAGAAAUAAAAAGUGCAUGCAGCUAACGCUGGUGUGGCGUCCUGUACUUUAUCUACAGAACUAGCUAGCUACUACAAAAACAACUGCCGGUGCAACGCUAACCAGCGAGCCGUGUUUCAUCCUGUAUUUCACGGAGCUAUUUAUUUAGCUGGUUAUUGUAGUUAAUUUUAGCCCCCUGUUUUAACACUAGCUAGCUUUUCCAGUUAAAAAAAAUACAAAACAAACUAGCUAGCUUUAGCAAAGUCAAUUUUGUGAACGAAUUACGUUGAUCACACUGAUGAUUUACGACAGUCCAUGAUGCCCACGCUACAAGACGAAAAACAUGCAAAUGAAUAAAAUCUUAGCGGAGUCAGAGACAAAACCGUUAAACAUUACAUGCUAAAAAACAACAAUCCUGUGCUUCUGAUGCUAAAUGCUAACUAGCAAAAACUAAAAUGAUGAGACACCUGGAAAUACAAGUCCAUCUUUGGUUCUCUGAAGUAAAUUUUAAAACUCAUGCGGUUCUGCAAUUAGCAAAAGUUUUCUAGACUUUAUCUAGAACGUUCUCCGUUCUAUUCUCCCGUUAUUGUUCUGUUUGCGUCCAGCAGUUUGGUUCUGACUCGCUUUAUCAGACGUGCUCGUGAAUUCCUUACAAAAAACCUCCCAAAACAACCGAAACCCAAAAGGUUCUUCGCGUGUCACUCUGGAGGAACGCUUACAGGUUCUUCGUUAUCGGAAAGAAUUCGGAAUAGAAUCCUUUUUUUGGAAGCGAAGAACCCUUUAUCAUCCAGUAAACGCUUAAAGAACCUUAGAAGAACCAUUCUGAAGGAGAAAGGGUUCUUCAAGGAGUGUGUGUAUUAUCUGGGUUGAACGUGUGCGGUAUAAAUUCCACAUUAUUGCUCGUUUUUCCUUCUCAGAACCUCCAACCUGACAGGAGUUUAACAUCUAGUUUCUCGAGACUUGGAACACUUGCUUGGUACUUUCUUGCGUCCUAAAAGGCUCCUGAUUGGGAAAAACACUGUUGUACGGUUCUGUGUAGAACCUUGCAGGAGUAACGAUAUACUGACAGUACGAUAUCUAUAGUUAUUAAAUGGUAAUAAAUGUAACGCUGUGUUUAGCUACACUGAUGUGCGCGUUUUUGUACCGGUUCACGUACAUGCUUGUUGUUUUUUUUUUUUUACAUUUAAUUUUUGUUUAUCAAAACUACAAAUCUAUCAAAUCUCAGUCGAUAAGAAAUAAAAAAAUAAUUUGCCGAAACGUCUGCAACCAGUCACACCGGGUGAGCGCAAGUUUGCUCGUAGCUGAGCGCAAAGCUAAACCGUCGCUACAUUCGGGGCGCUAGCUGGAGUCCGUAUGCAAUGUUUAGCUACUGCGCUGUUAGCGUCUUGGUGAUCAUUCAUGUGAAAUGUUAGCUAGCUCAUCAUGUUCACUAAACAUAUUCCUCUUGUAAUGCUAGCCUGCUAUAAUAAUUAUUAUUCUUUAAUGAUUGAACUAAUAUUCUGAAAUUAUUUACAUUCAUGACAGCCGUGAUACCAUGUGACCCUCGCGUGACGUAUUCUUCCACGUUUAAAUCGUAAACGUUAGCGGUGCGACUGGCUGCUGAGCGUUAGAUCAGACGAAACAUUUGAUCAUUCUUCACAUUUCGUAAUUAACAUGACUGCAUCAGAAAAUAGAAAUUCUUCUAACAACGUGGAGAAACAGCCAUUAAACCGAGUCUCGUUACAGCUACGGCUAAAAAACGUCAAUAUGAAAAUACGCCUAAUGCUUACGUCGAGUUAGUGUUCGUACGUUUCACGUCCGUUACAAACUAAGGUGUAAAGUAAGAGCUCCAUUAACUGGAAGGUGAACCCCAGCAGUCGCAUGUGUUUAGUGUUUAGCAUGCUAACCCGUACACGCUAAGUGCUAAUUACCAAAAAGUCAUGAUGCAUGAUUAAAAACAUGCCUACUGUUUGAGACGGAGCCAAUCGAGAUGUCACACCAAUCUCAGUCCCUGAUUGGUCGGUGUCUCUGAGGGAGCUCCAGCAAUGAACACUGCUCGGAGACGUAAACGCCCGGAGAAUAUAAAAAUAACUUUACUAGCACAUCAAAACAGCGAAAUAUAGAAAUAAAGGGUCAAGAUAAAAAAUAUCUGGCUUCUGGAGGAAGAACACGAUCCCAUGAUUCAUCUGGAUCCUCCUGGAAAAUUCCGUUCAUCCGGGUUAUGUAGGACAUAAGACUGCAGAGAGAGGACAGGACAAACAAGCUGUCAAUCACACAGUACGAGCCAAUCAGCUGGUUCAGCUAGUCUCUCCACUAAAGUCCUUCCGUCCUCCUCCGAAUCUAGUCCGUCUCCAACCCUGUGCACGCAGACCAGACCAUCUGUAAUCCAGUGCCUAAUCCAGCCCUUAAUCCAGGACCCGGAGCAGACCCUAAUCCUGACCACACCUUAAUUCUGUCCAGCCCAUAGUCCCCCCUGUCUCCUCCUACAGCCCCGAUCUAGUUCAGCCCAGCCCCUAGUCCAUCCUGUCCUGUAGUCCCCUAGUCCUGUCCAGACCCCUAGUCCACCCCCUGGCUCUUCCUGUCCCCUACUACAGCCCCUGUCUAGUCCUGUCCAACUACCAGUUUGAAUAUCAGACUGGUUCAGCCCGCCCCCUACACCAGUCCCGAGAUCACAGUCUAUAGACGAAGCCUAAACAAACCUCAAGUGUGCUGUGUUAUAAGCUGGUAGCAAUCAUUUUUUAGUGUUAGUAUAUUAUAUAUAUAUAUAUAUAUAUAUAUAUAUGUAUAUGUAUAUAUGUGUGUGUGUGUGUGUGUGUGUGUGUGUGUGUGUGUGUGUGUGUGUGUGUUGGAGAUCACACAGCGAGAUGAGAAAUGAAACUGUCUCCUCUCACCAUCUCACACCACCACUGUUGGCCAAUGCAGCGAAAGCAAAGACAAGAAUAAUCAGAGGUCAAAGCUCAACCCUCACACCAAAGUAAGGCAAAAAAGUAAAUAGUCAUUCUAGAAUCAAAAGAGGUUAAAGGUUAAAGGUCAAGGGAAGUACAAGGAGUUUAUAAACAAAUAAAACGGGAAGUGACCUGCAGUUUGUGUAUAAACGCAACAAUGUGUUACCUUUUAGGAUGUAAUCAGUCAGCAAGCUGGGAACUUUAUCACUGUCAUCCCUCAUGGCAUGUAAAACUAACACACACACACACACACACACACACACACACACGAUCACU